RNAcentral lists this ribosomal RNA (301 nucleotides) under uncultured bacterium. RNAcentral's name for it is "partial 16S ribosomal RNA". It matches the Rfam family "Bacterial small subunit ribosomal RNA", at positions 509 to 808 of the family's 1533-position model. The record is from RNAcentral.
CAGCAGCCGCGGUAAUACGUAGGUCCCGAGCGUUGUCCGGAUUUAUUGGGCGUAAAGCAAGCGCAGGCGGUUUGAUAAGUCUGAAGUUAAAGGCUGUGGCUCAACCAUAGUUUGCUUUGGAAACUGUCAAACUUGAGUGCAGAAGGGGAGAGUGGAAUUCCAUGUGUAGCGGUGAAAUGCGUAGAUAUAUGGAGGAACACCGGUGGCGAAAGCGGCUCUCUGGUCUGUAACUGACGCUGAGGCUCGAAAGCGUGGGGAGCGAACAGGAUUAGAUACCCGCGUAGUCCCUGUCUCUUAUACA